This 117-nucleotide small RNA is filed under the name uncultured Cytobacillus sp. Its description in RNAcentral is "Ribosomal protein L20 leader". It matches the Rfam family "Ribosomal protein L20 leader". Rfam says of the family: This family is a putative r-protein leader autoregulatory structure found in B. subtilis and other low-GC Gram-positive bacteria. It is located in the 5' untranslated regions of mRNAs encoding initiation factor 3 followed by ribosomal proteins L35 and L20 (infC-rpmI-rplT). Lineage: Bacteria; Bacillati; Bacillota; Bacilli; Caryophanales; Bacillaceae. The record is from RNAcentral.
AGUAAAGAAGAAGCACCCGCUUCUCACCUGAUUGACGCUUUUAGGCAGUUAGCAGGUUUACGUGAAUUUUAACAUUGUACGUAAUGUGUGGGUGUCUUCACCCGCACUUUUUUAUUU